Molecule: unclassified non-coding RNA, 225 nt
Filed under: Hevea brasiliensis (rubber tree)
Lineage: Eukaryota; Viridiplantae; Streptophyta; Magnoliopsida; Malpighiales; Euphorbiaceae
Source: RNAcentral
AAGGUGGAAAGGUUCGCAAACAGGUCGGAAUAGGUGUUAUGUCGUUUUGUUUGGAGGUGAGGUUCAAAGGCCUUGCUGUUUGGCAAUUAUAUUACUUUAAAGACUUAAUUUUUAUGGUUUCUAAUUAUUUUUUAUAAGUUUUGGUUUGAAAACAGAUGUUUGAUUAUGGCUUUGUAAUUGAAUAAUUGUUUAAUCAGUGAUAUAUUUUAUUUUUAUAUAUUACCC